Molecule: ribosomal RNA, 394 nt
Filed under: uncultured bacterium
Lineage: Bacteria
Description: bacterial SSU rRNA
Rfam family: Bacterial small subunit ribosomal RNA
Source: RNAcentral
CCUGAACGCUGGCGGCGUGGCUAAGACAUGCAAGUCGCACGGGCCUCGCAAGAGGUCAGUGGCGAACGGGUGAGUAAAGAAUCGCUAACGUACCCCGGACUCUGGGAUAGCUACCCGAAAGGGUGGGUAAUACCAGAUGAUAUAACUUUCCUGCAUGGGAGAGUUCUCAAAGGCCGCCGGCAACGGUGGAACGGUCUGGGAGCGGGCGAUUUCGUAUCAGCUAGUUGGUGAGGAACGGCUCACCAAGGCGACGACGCGUAGCCGGACUGAGAGGUUGGCCGGCCACAUUGGGACUGAGACACUGCCCAGACUCCUACGGGGGGCUGCAGUAACGAAUCUUCCGCAAUGCACGCAAGUGUGACGGAGCGACGCCGCGUGUGGGACGAAGCCCUUC